GAUGAACGCUGGCGGCGUGCCUAAUACAUGCAAGUCGAGCGAACGGACGAGAAGCUUGCUUCUCUGAUGUUAGCGGCGGACGGGUGAGUAACACGUGGAUAACCUACCUAUAAGACUGGGAUAACUUCGGGAAACCGGAGCUAAUACCGGAUAAUAUUUUGAACCGCAUGGUUCAAAAGUGAAAGACGGUCUUGCUGUCACUUAUAGAUGGAUCCGCGCUGCAUUAGCUAGUUGGUAAGGUAACGGCUUACCAAGGCAACGAUGCAUAGCCGACCUGAGAGGGUGAUCGGCCACACUAGAACUGAGACACGGUCCAGACUCCUACGGGAGGCAGCAGUAGGGAAUCUUCCGCAAUGGGCGAAAGCCUGACGGAGCAACGCCGCGUGAGUGAUGAAGGUCUUCGGAUCGUAAAACUCUGUUAUUAGGGAAGAACAUAUGUGUAAGUAACUGUGCACAUCUUGACGGUACCUAAUCAGAAAGCCACGGCUAACUACGUG
RNAcentral lists this ribosomal RNA (497 nucleotides) under uncultured bacterium. RNAcentral's name for it is "partial 16S ribosomal RNA". It matches the Rfam family "Bacterial small subunit ribosomal RNA", at positions 28 to 507 of the family's 1533-position model. The record is from RNAcentral.